RNAcentral lists this ribosomal RNA (424 nucleotides) under Fusobacteriota bacterium. RNAcentral describes it as "Fusobacteria bacterium partial 16S ribosomal RNA". It matches the Rfam family "Bacterial small subunit ribosomal RNA", at positions 355 to 776 of the family's 1533-position model. The record is from RNAcentral. Lineage: Bacteria; Fusobacteriati; Fusobacteriota.
UGAGGAAUAUUGGUCAAUGGUCGAGAGACUGAACCAGCCAAGUCGCGUGAAGGAUGACUGCCCUAUGGGUUGUAAACUUCUUUUACAAGGGAAUAAAAUGAGAUACGUGUAUUUUAUUGCAUGUACCUUGUGAAUAAGCAUCGGCUAACUCCGUGCCAGCAGCCGCGGUAAUACGGAGGAUGCGAGCGUUAUCCGGAUUUAUUGGGUUUAAAGGGUGCGUAGGUGGGCUGUUAAGUCAGCGGUGAAAGUUUGUCGCUUAACGAUAAAAUUGCCGUUGAAACUGGUAGUCUUGAGUAUAGAUGAAGUAGGCGGAAUGCGUGGUGUAGCGGUGAAAUGCAUAGAGAUCACGCAGAACUCCGAUUGCGAAGGCAGCUUACUAAGGUAUAACUGACACUGCAGCACGAAAGCGUGGGUAUCAAACAGG